AUACAAAGCUUAAGAUCAAAAACCUGAAAAGCUGUUAUCUGUCUUAUGAUGCCGAAGAGAUAGUGACCUUUGAUGAUAAUGAGGAUGACAUUGAGGAACACAGUUCCGACAAAGAAACUGAAGAAUCUCCCACUUCAUCUGUCCUCGGAAAGAUGUUUGAUCUGACAGAGCUGAAUAAUGGACGCUACAAUAUAAUCUAUAGCCACCCAGAGACAUUACACACAAAGACUAUUCAGAAUAUUUUUCAUUCAUCUGUGUAACAACAGAGAGUGUGUGCAGUUGCUAUUGAUGGGGUUCAUAUGAUUUCAGAAUGGGGAAGUGAAUUUCUACCAGCAUUCCGAAAUUAGGUGAACUUACGGUGAUAUUCCCUAAUGCUUGCCACUUGGCAUCAACAGCCACAUGUACCGAACAGAGAAAGAAUGAAUUGACAGACACUUUGCAAUAUAGGAAAUACACCUGUGUGUCUAUUAAUCCGGACAGACCCAAUAUUUAUAUAAGUAAAAGGUCAAGAUUACCAAAUAUAAAAAAAUUGAUAAGUGUGACUCAUUGAUUGAGCCAGUGGCAGUGGAGCUAACUGAUAAAU
This is a long non-coding RNA of Dreissena polymorpha, 583 nucleotides long. RefSeq lists it as uncharacterized. The record is from RefSeq and is a predicted model, not a curated record. NCBI's taxonomy places the organism in Eukaryota, Metazoa, Mollusca, Bivalvia, Myida, Dreissenidae. The transcript is spliced from 3 exons.